GACGAACGCUGGCGGCGUGCCUAAUACAUGCAAGUCGAGCGGACCUCUUCGGAGGUUAGCGGCGGACGGGUGAGUAACACGUGGGCAACCUGCCUGUAAGACUGGGAUAACUUCGGGAAACCGGAGCUAAUACCGGAUAAUCCUUUCCCUCUCAUGAGGGAAAGCUGAAAGACGGUUUCGGCUGUCACUUACAGAUGGGCCCGCGGCGCAUUAGCUAGUUGGUGAGGUAACGGCUCACCAAGGCGACGAUGCGUAGCCGACCUGAGAGGGUGAUCGGCCACACUGGGACUGAGACACGGCCCAGACUCCUACGGGAGGCAGCAGUAGGGAAUCUUCCGCAAUGGACGAAAGUCUGACGGAGCAACGCCGCGUGAGCGAAGAAAGCCUUCGGGUCGUAAAGCUCUGUUGUCAGGGAAGAACAAGUAUCGGAGUAACUGCCGGUACCUUGACGGUACCUGACCAGAAAGCCACGGCUAACUACGUGCCAGCCGCCGCAGUAA
This 500-nucleotide ribosomal RNA is filed under the name uncultured bacterium. RNAcentral describes it as "partial 16S ribosomal RNA". It matches the Rfam family "Bacterial small subunit ribosomal RNA", at positions 28 to 523 of the family's 1533-position model. The record is from RNAcentral.